UGACACAGCUGGAGUUGUCACAGAG
RNAcentral lists this non-coding RNA (25 nucleotides) under Mus musculus (house mouse). The record is from RNAcentral. Lineage: Eukaryota; Metazoa; Chordata; Mammalia; Rodentia; Muridae.